UGGCUGCCCGCUCAGGUGGAGGUAGACACUGAGGUGGUGUGGGUGCAACGGUGCUGUGCAGCCUGGGAUCUGCAGCAGCUGCAACGAUGUGUGAGUCAGCUGCAAUGCUGCUUGCUGCUGGUAUAGUGGCUCAAACCUUCCAUUACAGUCGACACAAGGAAGAGCAGAUGCUGGUUUACAAAGAAGACAGAGUGCUGGAGUAACUCAGCGGGUCAGGCAGCAUCCCUGGAGAACAUGGAUCGAUUCGCAGCUCUAUAAUCAUCAUCAGUACACGAGAUCUUAAGAAGGGUCUCCUAUUCCUUCUCUCCAGAGAUGCUGCCUGUUCCGCUGAGUUCCUCCAGCUUUUUGUGUAUUUCAUCAGUUACACGAGAAUGGUUGUGAUUUAGUCUCGCAGAAUAAUUUGUGAAUUGCAAAUCUAUUUGCACUUAAUUAAUGGUCAGAUUGAAAUAACACCACGAUGACUAAC
Leucoraja erinaceus (little skate) is the source of this 466-nucleotide long non-coding RNA. RefSeq lists it as uncharacterized. The record is from RefSeq and is a predicted model, not a curated record. The transcript has 3 exons. Lineage: Eukaryota; Metazoa; Chordata; Chondrichthyes; Rajiformes; Rajidae.